UGCGGAGGGAUCAUUACUGAGUUAGGGAGCAAUCCCGACCUCCAACCCUUUGUGAACGCAUCAUGUUGCUUGGGGGGUGACGCUGUCAUAUCUUCGGAUAUGUCUGGCCCCCCCCGGCCAUCAAAACACUGCAUUCUUACGUCGGAGUAAAAAGUUAAUUUAAUAAAACUUUCAACAACGGAUCUCUUGGUUCUGGCAUCGAUGAAGAACGCAGCGAAAUGCGAUAAGUAAUGUGAAUUGCAGAAUUCAGUGAAUCAUCGAAUCUUUGAACGCACAUUGCGCCCCCUGGUAUUCCGGGGGGCAUGCCUGUUCGAGCGUCAUUUCACCACUCAAGCCUCGCUUGGUAUUGGGCGUCGCGAGUCUCUCGCGUGCCUCAAAGUCUCCGGCUGUCUUGAUUCAAUUCCCAGCGUUGUGGCAACUAUUUCGCAGUGGAAACGAGUCAAAGUGGCCGUUAAAUCUUUCAAAGGUUGACCUCGGAUCAGGUAGGGAUACCCGCUGAACUUAAGCAUAUCAAUAAGCGGAG
This 523-nucleotide ribosomal RNA is filed under the name fungal sp. NLR-2013. RNAcentral describes it as "eukaryotic LSU rRNA". The stretch from base 167 to 320 matches the Rfam family "5.8S ribosomal RNA". The record is from RNAcentral. Lineage: Eukaryota; Fungi.